UCCUCCGUGGCGCAAUUGGCUAGCGCGUCUGACUGUUAAUUCCAAGGUUGAAAGUUCGAGCCUUUCCGGGGGAG
Non-coding RNA from Metarhizium acridum CQMa 102, 74 nucleotides. The record is from the annotation of a RefSeq genome assembly. Lineage: Eukaryota; Fungi; Ascomycota; Sordariomycetes; Hypocreales; Clavicipitaceae.